AGUUAAGGGGGGAGGGGGGCAGGGACGGUUCUACUUUAAAAGCCCAGAAACUGGCAGGCCACGGGGCUGUGACGCUGUCGACUUUCACGUCUGGAUAUUGUGUUCGUGCGUACUUGCGACUCGUGUUGCAUCUUGUCCCUUUGCUCUGCAGUUGUCAACGGAAAAAAUUUCUCAGUGAAAAAAAAGAACGCAGGCACAGGAGCAGGCUUAAAGUAGUAGGCACUGAGGAUGGCUCAGUGGCUAAGAGGACUGGGGGCUCUUCCAGGGGACUUAGGUUCCGUUCCCAGCACUCACAGGCUCACGGACAUCUUUAGCUUCCGUUUCAGGAGUUUUGAUGCCCUCUUCCGGUUUCCUUGAGCGUUAGACAUGCAAGGGACAUAUAUGUAGGUCUUUGAAUGCAAUGUCAGCAUAUUUUGCUCUGAGCAAUAAAACCUUACUCUAAUACUAGUUAAAGGUGCUUCGGAGAGGUGCUGAUAGGGAAGAGGCAAGGCAAAAACUGCGGGACACAAACGUACCUUUGUGAAAUCUGCUAUGGAAACACCUUCAGGGACCUGUUGUUGGAAAUCCUAGUGGCCUCAAGCAAAAAGGCUCAAGGCACACACUAGGGGGCGCACUGGAGUAAAUCUCUCGGUUGGAAAAGGAUAAGAGGAAGGUUGUCACUCCUCUUCCGGCUGUGCUAUCUAAUCAUCUCAACCUCCCCUCAACCUCCCUCGCUCUUCCCUUUUCACUGACUUUCACGACGGGAAAAGAAUUUCACAGGUUAGUAGGGAGGAGGGUUGUGUGCUACACAACGAGACAUUGUUGUAACCACAAACAAACAAGCGAAAAGAAUUUCCCAUUCCAAAUUUGCAUGAUUAUGCCAUCCUUACGGAAAACAAAGCCCUGUGCAUAAUCUUGAAUAGCCAUCAAGGGGUCUGUAUGUUACCGGUUUGACUCGAGCCUGUGGAUCCACUGGGUGGAUUUAGUAGAAGGAAAGUUGUCUCUGAAGCUACUAAGCAAAGGCGCUCUUAGGAUCCGGGUGUUUUUGUAGUUGGAGGUUGUUUGUUUGUUUUGUUUGUUUGUUUGUUUGUUUGCUUUUUUGUUUUGUUUUUUGUUUUUUUCUUUGUUCCUGGAAGUCAGAGCCAUGGAAAAGAUCUGUCACAAGCCCAAUUGUCACAUGGCCAGGCAACCACGGAGGACUGGAACCACUUAAUUAGUGAACUAAAAUAAACUUUUUCUCGUUUGGAGUUUUUUUCUUUUAGGGAUUUUUGUCCACAGACUAGAAAGUUGUUUAGCAUGCCAUCAUAAAUUCCUUGGUAUGACCAUGAUCAAAAAGACCAACCACAUAACAAUCCCCCUUAUACUGUUAGGUGCUCUUAUAUUGACCACAUAUCAUUUAUAAGUCUGCUAAUUUGCCUAUCAUGAUUGAAUCCUCUCAGAAUGCCCUAAGGGAGGUGCCUAUUUUUGGUUUUGUGGGGUUUUUUUCCUUCUUUUUCUCGUCUUCGUCUAGCAUUGUGAAUAGGAAGUAACGGAUGGCUACUUCAUAGUACUUUUCUAAAUCUCAGACUAAUUUCCCAUUUUCAACAAAUUAAUAAGCUUCCUUGUCUUCUUCCAAAUGUGGCUAAAAAUAAGUAAAGAGAAGUACUAUUUUUUUUAAAAAAAAAGAUUAGCUUAUUUAUUUCAUGUAUGUGAGUACACUGUCUCUGUCUUCAGACACACCAGAACAGGGCACUGGAUCCCAUUACAGAUGGUUGUGAGCCACCAUAUGGUUACUGGGAAUUGAACUCAGGACCUCUGGAACAGCAGUCAGGGCUCUUAACCUCUGAGCCAUCUCUCCAGCCACAGUGCUAUUCUUUAAAACGCAUGGUUUACACUGGGCGUGGUUGCCCAUGUAUCUAAUUGUCGCACUGUGUUUGGAAGGCAAGUGGAUCUCAGUGAGUUCAAAGCCAGGCUGGUCAACAUAGUGAGUCCCAGAUCGUCAAGGCUUCAUGGUGAGACACUGUCUCAAAAUAAAUGAAAAGCAUUGCUUACAUAUAAAGCCGGCUUUAUUUUAUUUUAUUUUUUAAAAGAAACUGGUAUUUGUUUUCUACUAGUCUUAUCUUCAUUUUGCCAAAUAGCUUAACACUGGAAGCUACCGACAAUCUCUGGUAGCAAGUUGGACACCAAGCCAUUAGGGAGAUACUGAACAGGCAAAGAUAGUUCCUAUCUGCUUUCGGACCAGGCUGUGAGCUCAGGGACAAGGGCGCUCAGCAUAGAGGAGUCCAGUCGCCCUGACAUUCCUCUUUGGUACAGCCUGCUCUUCUUUUCUAAACUGUUCAAGAUCUUUACAGAUCAGGUAUGACCUCCCCGCGUGCUCACAGGACAUGGAGCCACGAAUGUGCAGAAAACUUCCCAGACCAGCAUCCACCGGCUGGAACCUGAGGAGGGCGCUCCCUUGCUGUUACUGGGGAUGCCGAUGGACAUGGAGUGUGGAGGAGGCUGUUGCACAGAACGCUGGUUAAGUUGUUUGUCAUAAGACACCACAUGAAAGAUCAUCGGUCACCACCAGAAGUUAUAGUUCCAGGAACAUUACCCAGGAUGCCUCAGCGAAGAUUCCAGGAGUGAGCGCAGGCAGUAGGAGUGGCUCCGACGACAGCAGUCAAGUUCGGUACAGGUUGCUGGCCAGGAUUCCCGUAUGCUGAUGCACGGACAGCGAAGGCUUCCUGGGUCCUCUUCAGGCUUAUGAUGUAGAUUUUACUUCCUGCUCUCUUAUAGAUGUACAGUUGCAACAGAAAAUCAAAGACGUUCCACACAAGUGGAUUUCUGAUACAAGAAUGGUCUUCGUUUAUGGGACACUAAGGACUUAUUAUUAUGGAAGUUUCAAGUCAGAGGAAUCCAGAACUCCAGCGUGGACCCCUCUCUAGGUUGCCUGGUGAAGUGGAAGUUAUCCUUGCUGAGUUCUUGCUCGUGGGAUAUUUAAGCAGAAUCUCCCACAACUACGGUGCACCUGGUGCCUUUGGAGGCCAGAAGAGGACGUCAGAAUUUCUGAAACUGGAGUUACAGAUGGUCCUGGGCUACCACGUGGAUGCAGGGAAUUAAACUAAGGUCUCCUAGAAGAGCAGCUGGUGCUCUUAACUGCUGAGGCAUCUCUCCGGCCUUGAGUUUUGAUUUGUUCUUAAAGGACGUUUAAAUUCUGUUUUUCCUCAGGGGCAACGUCUACUGGCUGUCGUUGUCCUGUAACAGUGGCCAAGCAUCGUUUCUUUGUGUCCCUGGUACUUUUGGCUUUGCUGUUUGAAAUCAGUUGUUGAAAAUAUUAUAAUGUAAGAGCUCCGGAAAUCACAUUAUCCCCUUGCUCAGGGUGUCUUGCUGUGGCUGAAGUUGGCUUGCUUAAUAAGUUUCCCAUGUCAUUCUGUAAAGUCUGAAAAUUCUUGUUAUACCUGUCUUAGUUGCUUAGCCCACUGGUCAGCUAAUUACUGAGCAAGGCUUCCCUAAGUUCCUUGUACAGUUCUACCAUUGCUGAAUGACUCUCUCUCUCUCUCUCUCUCUCUCUCUCUCUCUCUCUCUCUCUCUCUCUCUGUGUGUGUGUGUGUGUGUGUGUGUGUCUGUGUCUAUGUAUCUGUAUGACUCUGCCUGUCUGUCUGUUCUUCUGUCUCUCUCUCUGUCUCUGUCUCUCUCUGACUCUUUUCUCUGUCUCUGUGUGUGUGUCCAUGUCCCUGCACCACACUUUCAACUCCCAGAGUAUUUUUUCAUGUAAAACUCAGUAUUUCUUCUUUCUAGUUUUUGCAAACAUUGUUUUCCAAUUUAAAAAUAACAGCUUAAAUAAAUAUAUAUAGCCAGGGAGUGGCGGCUUUAAUCCUACCACUCAGGAGGCCGAGGCAGGACAGGCUGAUCUGAGUUUGAGGACAGCCUGGUCUACAGAGUUCAGGGACAGCCAGGGCUACACGGAGGAAUCCUAUCUCAAGAAACGCACCAAACAAACAAAGCCACCAGCCUCCCUUACCAUGUCGCAAAGCUUACAAACUCUUCUCCACAGAAAACACUGCUGUUCAUAGCAGACGUGCCAUGCUUACAUUGUACUUACUGUGUAAAUAAUUAAACAGACAGAAACAUUGAACAGAUGGGGCACUUAAGAUAUACAUGAUAUAUUGAUAUAAAACAUGGCUACUGUGAAUCAGAGUUGCAAGGAUGUACUACCGUACUGCAGGGUGCCUGCAGCAUAUGCAGUGGUGGUUUUCAAGGCCUUUAAAAACACUCCUCUGCAUUCGACAUCAUUUGUGUGCAUCAUGAUUAGACAACUAGUAUUCCUUAGUAUCAAUAAAACUGCUAAAGACUCUAA
This is a non-coding RNA of Rattus norvegicus (Norway rat), 4294 nucleotides long. The record is from RefSeq and is a predicted model, not a curated record. NCBI's taxonomy places the organism in Eukaryota, Metazoa, Chordata, Mammalia, Rodentia, Muridae.